This 460-nucleotide ribosomal RNA is filed under the name uncultured bacterium. Its description in RNAcentral is "partial 16S ribosomal RNA". It matches the Rfam family "Bacterial small subunit ribosomal RNA", at positions 338 to 795 of the family's 1533-position model. The record is from RNAcentral.
CCUACGGGGGGCAGCAGUGAGGAAUAUUGGUCAAUGGGCGAGAGCCUGAACCAGCCAAGUCGCGUGAAGGAUGACGGCCCUACGGGUUGUAAACUUCUUUUGUCAGGGAGCAAUUGGUUCCACGCGUGGGCUUAGCGAGAGUACCUGCAGACAAAGCAUCGGCUAACUCCGUGCCAGCAGCCGCGGUCAUACGGAGGAUGCGAGCGUUAUCCGGAUUUAUUGGGUUAAAAGGGUGCGUAGGCGGAAUAUCAAGUCAGCGGUAAAAAUUCGGGGCUCAACCCCGUCGUGCCGUUGAAACUGAUGGGCUUGAGUGGGCGAGAAGUAUGCAGAAUGCGUGGUGUAGCGGUGAAAUGCAUAGAGAUCACGCAGAAUACCGAUUGCGAAGGCAGCAUACCGGAGCACAACUGACGCUGAAGUACGAAAGCGUGGGUAUCGAACAGGAUUAGAUACCCCAGUAGUC